UUGCAGUGAGCUGAGAUUGCGCCACUGCACUCCAGCCUGGGCGACAGAGCAAGACUCCGCCUCAAAAAAAAAAAAAAAAAGAAACAAACAAACAAACAAACAAACGUAUUUUCCCACUCCUCUGGUUUCUACGAGGAAGAAUUUUCCCCUAAGCACUUCUGGCUUCUCAGCCUACCCCUUACUUUUCACCACAGAAAUAGAGUGAAUUACCUGAUUUGAUGAAUCUGGGAGAGGAACUGGACACUCACACUUCAGCAUCUUCUUAUCAUCCUCUUCCUCUUGGGAGCCAGCCAUCUGCAGGGUGAACGUGCUCCUCCGUGCUAGAAGUUUUCCAGGGCAGGCCCCACAGACAGCAGCCUGCAGAAGUGCAGCACUGCCCAAGGCCAGAGGAAAGCAUCUUCUAGUCUAUGAAUGUACACUCUGGAGCUGCUCUGGAUAUUGGCAAUGUUGCUACCAAUCUAGAAAUCAGGAACCUAAAGACCCUUUUCUAACACACUGGCCUAGGAUGAAUCUGAAUAAGACUUUGACUUAUGAAAACAGGAGGAAAUGGAAAAGCAAUCCUAUUAGGGUCAAAUAUCUUCAAGACGACACACUCGUACAUUGCCAAGAAAGACUCAGCAUAAUUCCCUUGUGUUUUUACACUACAAAAGGUCCCUAUCUCCUUUCUGUAGCUGGAGUUGCUUAAAUUUGAUAUGCACAUAACUUCAGAAGGGGGUAGACAGAGCCCAUGCCUCCUGCAAGGAGUGAGAAAUAGACCUAAACGAUCACAGUUCAUUCAUUGAUUUUGCAAAUAUUAUUGAUCAUUUACUUUAUGUCAAGCACUGGGGAUAAAGUAAAGCAGUGGGAUCUAGUUCCCUACCCUCCUGGAGCUUCUGAUCCAGAUUCCUAGAGCUGAAACAGGCUUUGAAGACCUCUCAAUUUGUGGUUUCCAAAUUAUCUACCAAAGGUCAUUAAUAUUCUAUGCAAUAUUAAUUGGUAUUUCUUGGAGUAGGAUGACGUGAGGAAUUGUGUUCCAUGGUCAAAUUAAGUUCAAAGUGUUAGGUUAAACAAAGUUACAUUAGUUUCUUCAUGCCAGGCUACUCAGAGCCUUUCUAUGUUAACACACAUUGUGACUCUCUGACGGUGAGGGGGAGAGGAUGAGAUGCAAUAUGAUCAUUUGCUUUCCCCACUUAUUUCAACACAAAUCUUUUCUGAAGAGUACCCAUUAAUAAAAACUGUUGGCAGAACAUACUUCUGUUAAUGCUUCCAAAGCCAAAACCUAAAUCCACGUUUCCUUCAGCACAUGAGGAAGCUGCAGUGACCUAGAAUGGUGAGGGGCAGAACUGAGGCAAGAACCUGGAUCUCAUUAUUAUUUUCUUGAUCUUUUACCCAUUCCAUUCUGCCUGUUUCUACUCUCUUUCUCAUCCCCUGGAAAGACAUAUAAAAGCAGUGUUUCUUCCUUCUUUAUUUACCUCCUUCUUAGAUCAUGGUAAUGGUGAUUGUCUUCUCACCUAUUAACUGGUUUCUUUCUCUGCUGUCUAUAGCUUUGGGUCAUAAGCUCUUAAAAGUCAAAGACCAGCUUUUACACAAUAAACU
Molecule: long non-coding RNA, 1575 nt
Filed under: Homo sapiens (human)
Lineage: Eukaryota; Metazoa; Chordata; Mammalia; Primates; Hominidae
Description: HSALNT0248760
Source: RNAcentral